Gossypium hirsutum (cotton) is the source of this 107-nucleotide non-coding RNA. Lineage: Eukaryota; Viridiplantae; Streptophyta; Magnoliopsida; Malvales; Malvaceae. The record is from Rfam.
AGUCCAUGAUGAGGACACCUUAUCACUACAUCCUUAAAUCUAUCACAUGUAUUGUAAAGUGUCUCAACGUCAAAUUGAACAAAAGAAGAGAUAUCAUUCCUCAACUU